RNAcentral lists this ribosomal RNA (490 nucleotides) under uncultured bacterium. RNAcentral describes it as "partial 16S ribosomal RNA". It matches the Rfam family "Bacterial small subunit ribosomal RNA", at positions 30 to 507 of the family's 1533-position model. The record is from RNAcentral.
AUUGAACGCUGGCGGCAGGCCUAACACAUGCAAGUCGAACGGUAACAGGAAGAGGCUUGCUUCUUUGCUGACGCGUGGCGGACGGGUGAGUGAUGUCUGGGAAACUGCCUGUUGGAGGGGGGUAACUACUGGAAACGGUAGCUAAUACCGCAUAACGUCGCAAGACCAAAGAGGGGGACCUUUGGGCCUCUUGCCAUCGGAUGUGCCCAGAUGGGAUUAGCUAGUAGGUGGGGUAACGGCUCACCUAGGCGACGAUCCCUAGCUGGUCUGAGAGGAUGACCAGCCACACUGGAACUGAGACACGGUCCAGACUCCUACGGGAGGCAGCAGUGGGGAAUAUUGCACAAUGGGCGCAAGCCUGAUGCAGCCAUGUCGCGUGUGUGAAGAAGGCCUUCGGGUUGUAAAGUACUUUCAGCGGGGAGGAAAGGAGUAAAGUUAAUACCUCGGCGUAUUGACGGUACCCGCAGAAGAAGCACCGGCUAACUCCGUG